CCCAAAGUUGACCGGGUUUAAAUAAAGAAAAAAUUAGAUAAAUAAAUAAACAUUUAUUAAAAAAGUCCAUUGAAAGUCCAGGCCUACUGUUGCUACCCAAAGCCCAAAUACAAAAACCCAUAUCCGGGUAUAACCCAAUAGCCGGAACAAUACCUAAUACCCUUAAGCUAAACCCAAACCCAAAUAAGGCCCGUUACACCCAGCAGUCCGUCAGACUCAUUAUCCCUGCUAGCCUAAGUCAGACCUAACCCAUUACAUUACAGACCUUGACCCAAAACAAAACAGCCCAAAAGGCCCAAUAGACUUAAGAGAAACAGGGAAACCCUAGGGUUUCCGAAUACUGUGGCGCCGCAAACAUUUCUGGAAGCUUCGGGGAGUGUCUGGCAACCCCCAAAUCGAGGCCACCGUUUAAUGAGUUGUCCCAAGGGGCUUCAAUGCUCAUCAACGCCCCGAUCCUCGGUCGUCCCUUGGUCUGGCCCCAAAUUACGUUAUGAAUGUCAUGACCAUCACCAAGGCUCCAUCAGCGCCGUGAUCAGUGCACGCGUCUACACCAGCAUGGUCACUGCCAGAUCCCUCGCUCGAUUGCCUGCAAGAAAAGGAAACAAACAGCAGAUACGCGAAAAAGCAGAGUAGAAAAUGGCAAGGAAAUCACAGCACAUCAGUCAAAGAUACAAGAAAUCAGAGAUUUCUUUCCUUAUGUAACAAAUCAGUAGGCUAUAAAAAAAGCCUUUGUAACCCUUGUAACGAUUACACAGAUACAGAAAUAAAGAAACGAAUACAAAUAGUUUCAAAGGUGAUAACUGAGUGACUUGUUCUCUAUUUUUUUUAGCCCAUAUAUAUGAACUGUUUAGCAAAAUACUAAGGGUAUUUGAAAAGAAGAAGAACUACCUGUUUUGGAUCUAAAGGAAUGAGGAUUUUUAAACCCUCCGAUCUUCGUAUACAGUGGCCCUUAGGGCGGCGCGUGGGCGCGUGGACCGGCACGUGGCGUACGAAGGCCAGAACCGGAGCUCCCUUCCUCUCUCUCUUUCAGAGAGAAUUUUUUAGUUUUUUUUUUAAAAAAUCGGGGUUCAAAUGAAUCUUAAGCUGAGAAGGUAGCUUAUAUAGCUUGAACGAAACGGCGUCGUUUUGCGACCCCCAGGAUCCGCGUGUUGACCCGAUUACCUGGGGAGGAUCCGCGCAUUUUUUAAAAUUGGGUUAAUUUCCCAAUCGGUCCUUCUACCCCUUUUGUGUUUACAAUUAAACUAUUUUAUUUAUGAUUUGGCCCUAUUAUUUUAUUUUAGUUUUAAUUUGACCCUGACAGUUGUUAAAUUAUAUUCUGAGAAACGUGGCCGUUUUAAGAAUAGGGCAUUUUGCCCAGUGAGUCCCUCUAAUUUUACGCGCGUUUUAAAUAGGGCCUCAAUUCAGUUUUGUUUCUUUGAAAUUCGCCCUGUAAUUUUGCUGAAUUUUAAAUUUAGUCCUAUAUUUAUUCUAUAUAUAUAUCUAUUUUAUAUAUUGAUAUUUAUUUUUAUCCUUAUUAUUUAUAUUAUAUACUAUAAGAUUAUUUUAUUAUACAUAUAUUAUUAUUCUUCAUAUUACCUAUUAUUUUUCAAAUUAUUUUACAUCAUUAUUUUUUAUAUUAUUAUAUUUUUACUUGUAUUAUAUGUUAAUUAUUUAUACAUAUAAACUUUCAUUAUUUUAUAUUAUAUCUAUUAUAUAUCUUAUUUCCUAUAUAUUUAAAUUAUAUUUUAUAACAUUUAUUUUAUUUUAUUUUUAUUCUAUAUUUUUUAUAUAUAUGUUAUGUGUAUCAUAUAUUAUCUAUUAUAUUAUUCAUUAAGAUUUGUAAAUUAAAUUACAUUUUAAACUCAUAUUAUAUAUAUUAAAUUAUUAAUUAUGUAUUAUUUUAUUUUAAAAUGAUGUUUUGUGAUAUGUAUUAUUUUAUAAAUCCUUUUACCUACUUUUAUUUUAUAUAUAUUUUUAUAUAAUUAUUAUUCUCUUAUAAAUAUUUUGUUAUUAUAUUUUAUAUAUUAUGUAGCAAAUACUAUUUUAAAAUUAUUAUUAAAAUUUAGGUCUUUAUUUGUGUUAUGUGUAUACUUUGUUGACAAUAAUUUAUUCCAUUGUUUUUAUAUUGCAUAUAUCAUGCGUUAUUUUAUAUUUAUUAUUUGAUAUUACAUUUCAUGAGCAUAUACAAUGAUAUUAUAUUACUCUUUUGUAUGCCAUACAUUAUUUAAUUAUUGCUUUCUUAUAUAUAACGUGCAUUAUUUAAUUAUCACUUUGUAUGUUUGUAUAUCUUGUUUAUUCAUUCUCAAUACAUGCUAUAUAUAUAUCUAUGUAUGCAUAUUGUUACUAUUUGCUUUAUAUGUAUUAUUUUAUAUGUAUAUAUCUAAUGCACGAUCUUUAUAUCAUAGUAUUCAUUUUUAAAUGCACGUAUUAUUUACCUACUACAAUAAUAUGUUACUAUGUAUGAUUUAUAAUGCAAUAUAAUUCCUCACACAUCACCAUUUUUUUAAAAAAAGAGCUCCAAGGUUUUCAAAAAAAUAUAAAGGCAAUGCUUGAUGUUUGGAAAUUUCGGGAAAGUAGUGCCCUAACUUAUCGGUUUGCGACUCUUCUCGUUGAGUUCGAAUAAUCAAAUACCCUUUUAAGUUUUUAAAGGUUUUCAAAAUGUAAGUGACUGUCUUGGAAUUUCAAAGAAAUAUGACCAAACUUACUGGAUGUGGCGUUUUGUUGUUUCAAGAUAGGGAUUUUCGAAAGGCUAACUCAAUGUCAAUAUUUUACGAGUGAGUUCCAAUUUUCAAAAUCCAAAAUAUUUCAAAGAGGAUUGCGUCUUAAAAUUUCUAAUUUCCGACCUUAAAGACAUUUGAUAAUCAAUUUGGUACCAAUUUUUGGGCGUUACGAGGGUGCUAACCCUUCCUCGUACGUAACCGACUCCCGAACUCGUUCUUUUGAUUUCGUAGACCAAAACCGAUGAUUUUAAAAUAAAAUUGAUCUAAAGGUGAUCCAAUCACACCUAAAAAGCUUGGUGGCGACUCCCGUUUUCAUUUUUUUAAAGUCGAUUCCCAUUUUCUAAAACUCGAUUUGAAAAUGAUUUCGACAGCUUGGCGACUCCACUGCGGACUAAUAAGAGAGUCAAGCCGUGUAAUUGAUUAUCUCUUGUCUUAAUGUCGGAAAUUAAAAAUUUUAAAAUUUAAUUUUCUUUGCAUUACAUGUGUUUGUGUUAUUGCAUGUGUUGCUAUAUUCUAAUACGCAUUGCAUUUGCAUGACCGUUGUGGUCACACCCUUAAGUGGGAGUGAGAAGCUACGCCUUCGUGAGGUUUUCGCCUCCGUGCAGGAUAGUGGAUCACUUUUGGGAUACAUCCGUACCUAUGGUUUCGUGAGAUUUUCAUCUCCGUGUAGCCAUAGGGAAAUGUGUCCCCCUGAACUGAACUCGAUUCAAAUGAGCCUAUAAUGGGUGAGGAUCGAGGAAUCUGCUGGUUCAGGUACCUCAACUUUAGAACUAAACCACAUAUAGAAGGACCGUAAGAGCUCAACCUAGAUAGAAUUAUACCGUAAUUAUUACCCUUACAGGUUAUCUUUGAGUUUAUUGUUAUCAUGUGAUACUAACUAUCUCUUUUCUUUUGUUGCAUAUCAUUUCGCAUUUAAAAGGUAUCAAUUCGCGGUCAGUGUCUAAAUUAGAGAGUUUUAUUAUAGAGAACGGACUUCUUGAUAGAGUGGAGAGCAAUGCCAACGUCCAUAGAUGGUCUGAGCAAACUCAGUUAGAAAAGGGAGAUAGUAUAGCUGUGGGAUAUAUGUCGGAGCUGUCAGGAUAUACUCGCAUCAGUGUCACGCAGGAUAAUCUCCAAGAACUUAAGGAGAUUUGGGAUCAAUGGGGCAACGAGACUAAACAGUUAUUCUAUGGUAAUUACGUAGAUUUACCUUACUUGCUCGAUGUUCAAAUAGAUGAGCACUUGUUCCGAGCCCUCGCUCAGUUUUGGAAUCCAGCGUAUAGUUGCUUUACUUUUGGGGAGGUAGACUUGGUGCCUACCGUAGAGGAGUACACUGCCUUGUUACGUUGUCCCAGGUUCCAGGUUGAUAGAAUCUAUUCUCGAGCUGCUAAUGUCCCUACCUUUUGGAAGAAAUUGAUGACUAUUACAGGGAUGAGUGAGCAGUGGAUUACGACCAGAAUUAAAGAGAACGGUGAGUGCAAGUGCAUUUCAUGGGACGCUUUGAAGGGUCUGAUUUUGAUGCAUCCCGAUGAAACAAAGAGGGUAGAUGUUUUUGCCUUAAGUUUGUAUGGAUUGAUGGUGUUCCCUAGGGCUUUGGGAUAUGUGGAUGAGGCAACCACGGAUCUUUUCCAUAGACUCAGUAAGAGGGUCACUUCAGUCCCUGCAAUUUUGGCAGAGACAUUCAGGUCCUUAGGCACAUGUAGAAAAGCUGGUGCAGGCAGGUUUGUUGGUUGUGUACAAUUGCUUCUAGUUUGGUUCUAUAGUCAUUUUCAAUUGGUAGAUAAGGUCGUUUGUCGGGUUUUCUUCGAGGAUUACUCACCGCUGAAGGGCAUAGUCGCUUCAACUAGGAGAGUUGAUGUUCCAGAGGAGAAUUGGAUAGCACUACUUCAAAAUCUUCAGUCGAAAGAUGUUGAGUGGAGAGCUCCAUGGAUGAUUCCUGGUGAGAUUCUUUACCGUUGCGGCAGUUUCGAUUGGGUCCCUUUAUUGGGAAUUUGGGGUGCCAUUGGUUAUGCCCCCUUGCUCGUGUUAAGGCAAUUCGAUUUGAGGCAGUUCGUGCCAGCAACUCAUGGGCUAACUCAAAGUGAGUUCGCAUAUAGAGGAGCUGAUUACAAGAAAAGGGUCGGUGAGAUCUCUAGCGCUUGGAACAAGGCGUGCCGAUUGAAAGGAGUAGCUAUUGGCCCUGCUACGACUCCAGAAUAUGUUGAAUGGAGAGGUAGAAGGAUCAAUGAUAACAUUCCUGAGCCAAAUAUGGAAAGAGCUCGACCGAUGGAGGAAUAUCUGCAAGUGAUGCCCUCGGAGUUAGAAAUUAUGAAGCAAGAAUUUGAGAGGAAAAAUCUGGAGCUCGAGAAAAGGAUAGCAAAGCUUGAAGAAGAAAAAAUGUACUUGAGUUUAGAUAUUGAUGUCCAGAAGAUGGAGGUCGAAAAAAAAAGAAAGGAAGGAAAAGAGGAAGAUUGAAGAGGAUAGAGAUGACUUGAAGGAAUACUACAAAAAGGCACAGGUAUCCUUGAGAAGAGCGAAAAUAGGAGGGUCUUCAGAUCAAUUGCAGAAAGAGGUCCAAGAAGGAAAGGCAAGAGCUGAGUACUGGGAGAAGAAGUUUCAAGAGAUGCAAUCGCGAAAUUUGGCAUUAGAAGAAGAGAAUAAAGGGUUGAAGUCUAAAGUAACUGAGCUUGGAAGAUCCCUUCGAUGGCAUCGCAACCAUGAUUCUACGGUCGAGUUAAAAGAGCUAAAGAGUAAAGUUGAAGAUUUGGAAGCAGCAUUGCAGGAAAGUAAACUUCAGAUCGAGCAACUCGAGACACAAGGAGAUUAUCUAAAGGGAGAGCUUCAUCAGUCUAGAGGGCAGAUUAGAGAAAUGGAUCAUGUCAUGGAAGAAGCCAUAGCUCAGAUUCGAGAGGUUGCUGAAUAUGUGCGAGACUUGGUUGUACGAGCCGAGGUAUUGAGUAUGAUGUGUGGGUCGUCGUCAGACAUCGGAAAAGAGUUAGCCCUUUUAUUAGAUAAAGUUAAAACUUUGGGCAUUAGGGCGAAAGCAUACUUGUAAUCCAUUUAUAUGUAAAGAUAUUCUUUUUCUAAAUGAAGUUUUCUAAAUGAGAUUGAAUCGAGAUUGAUGCCUUUGUUGCAUUCAUACAUUUGCAUUACAUCAUAUCAUAUGCAUUCAAGGUUAUAGAAAGACCCUAAUUAGUUAAAGUUUCUUUAUAAAGGUAGAAAAGAAAAACUGGAAAUUACGCAUUCUUACGGCACUCGCACUAAAACUAAGAACAUGGAUCAAAGGUUUGAGCAGUUGCAAAAGGAUAUGCAAGACCAGUUGCAAGAGCAGUUGGCUAAAAUGCAGAAUGAGAUGAGGGAGCAAAUGAUGGAAGCUCAGAGGAAUAUAAUGGCCGAAAUGGCUCAGUUACUGAGGGCCACUGAUAAAGGAAAGGCUCCUAUGGCCAUCAUUGAAGAGGAAAAUGAGGGUCCUCUUCUAGGUUUUACACCGCCGCAUGUAUCAUUGCAAACCGAGGCACCUCCUAGAAGGCCAUCUACUACUGUGAGGCCUCAGCAUGGGCUAAUCGAUGCUGGUAUCCAUGUGAAUUUUUCGGUUGGUUCAGGGCUUAAUAUGGGUGACAAUCUUACUAAUCCUCUUGUUCCUGAUCUAGAUAUGGUGAAAAAGGAAUAUUUGAAGGCCGAAGCUGCAAGGUAAUUAGAUGAACGCUGUAGAUGGUUAGAAGAAAAGUUCAAGGCUUUGGAAGGCACUGGCAAUAAUCAUGGGGAUGAUGCCAAGGACUUAAGUCUAGUCCCAAACCUAGUGUUACCUCACAAAUUCAAAAUGCCAGAAUUUGAAAAAUACAAUGGUACUACUUGCCCAGAGGCCCACAUCACAAUGUUUUGUAGAAGGAUGACGGGGUAUGUAAACAAUGAUCAGCUGUUGAUCCAUUGUUUUCAAGAUAGUUUGAUAGGUGCGGCAGCCAGAUGGUACAAUCAGUUGACCGGGCUAGAAUAAGUUCAUGGAGGGAUCUUGCAUAAGCCUUCAUGCAACAGUAGAAUCAUGUAACAGACAUGACCCCUGACAGGAUUACCCUGUAAAACAUGGAGAAGAAGCCUAAUGAGAAUUUUAGGCAAUAUGCACAGAGGUGGAGAGAGGUAGCGAUAGAGGUUCAACCACCACUGUUGGAGAAGGAGACCACUAUGUUAUUCAUUAAUAUUUUGAAAGCCCUAUUUAUUACUCAUAUGAUUGGAAGCACUACUAAAAGUUUUGCGGACAUAGUUAUGGCAGGAGAGAUGAUAGAGAAUGCCAUAAGAGGGGGAAGAAUUGAAGGAGAGGGAGUCAAAAGAUCAGCCCUAAGAAGAAAAGACAAUGAGGUAAACAAUACAAGUGGUUUUAAUUCAAAAGCAGUCACAGUUAGCCAGCCCAAAGUAGCCACAGUUGGGCAACAAGUCUCUUAAAAGCAGGAAUCCAACACUAGGUAUGAGAGGAUGCAAUUUACACCUAUACCUGUGACGUAUAGGGAACUCUAUCAAAAUCUAUAUGAUGCGCAUGCUAUAGCCCCUUUCCAUUUAAAACCAUUACAGCCUCUGUAUCCUAAAUGGUAUGAUGCAAAUGCCAGAUGUGAGUAUCAUGCUGGAAUAUCGGGGCACUUAAUCGAGAAUUGUACUGGAUUCAAGAAAGCCGUAGAGAGGUUGAUCAAGAAUGGGGUUUUAAAAUUUGAGAGUACCUCAAAUACUGAGAAUCCUUUGCCAAACCAUGACAAUCAGGGAGUAAAUGCCAUUGGUGAAGCCGGUGAAAAAAGGGAAAAGGAAAAUGUUGAUGAGAUAAGGAUGCCUAUGAGGGUAAUCUGGAAGGAGAUGAUGAAGAAAGGUAUGUUGACCUUUAAAAAUACGAAAGAAAUAAUGUGGGAUUACGGUGAGUUUCGUGAAGAUUGCGAGGAAUUCAAGGCCUUGGUGCAAGGCUUCAUAGACAACAAAGAGCUACAGGUUUAUGAAGGUAGCUCUAGUGAAAAGCAAGUAUGUGUGUUGGAAAAUGAACAGCAAAGAACCAACAGACCAAGGAUCAUUAUCUCCUUGCCAGGGAAUAAUGAAAUAAGGACACCAUCAGCGCCCAAGGUUAUUAUCCAUACACCUACUCCUUUCCCUUACAAGGAUAGCAAGAAAGUACCAUGGAGUUAUGACUGUAGCGUGACGGUGCCGGGAGAAGGAAACAUAGCCAGCGCAUCUAAAGAUGUACAAGAGGAAGGUUCCCAUACGUGAAGUGGGAAGCGUUAUGAUAUGGGGGACGUCAGGGUGGAGCCCACAAAAUCUAAGAAUGCUGAAAUUGAGAAAAAGAGUGAAGUACCUGUUAACGAGCCGGUGAGAGAGGAGGAAGCUAAGGAAUUUCUAAAGUUUCUUAAGCAUAGUGAGUACAGUAUGGUCGAGUAGUUGCGUAAGCAACCAGCGCGUAUAUCGAUUUUAGCCUUACUGCUAAGCUCUGAAGUGCAUCGAGAAGCGUUGUUGAAGGUACUCAACGAGACAUAUGUCACUCAUGAUAUAUCUGUCAAUAAGUUGGACCGGUUGAUAAAUAACAUCAAUGCUGAUAAUUUCAUCUACUUCAAUGAUGAUCAAAUUCCACCUGGGGGCAUAGGGUUAACUAAGGCUUUGCACAUCACCACUCGUUGCAAAGGAUACACGUUUCCAAGUGUACUCGUUGAUAAUGGGUCCGCUUUGAACGUCCUUCCAUUAUCCACAUUCAACAGAUUACCUAUUGACAGUUCACACAUGAAGACAUGUCAUAAUGUGGUAAGAGCCUUUGACAGAACUGAAAGGAAAGUAAUGGGACGAAUUGAUAUCCCUCUGGAGAUUAGACCAAAUACGUAUGAAGUUGACUUCUUGGUAAUGGAUAUCAAGCCCUCCUAUAAUUGUUUGUUGGGGAGGCCAUGGAUACACUCGGCAGGAGCGGUGCCUUUUUUACUGCGCCAAAAAUUGAAGUUGGUGACAGAUGGACGCUUGAUAACCAUCAAUGCAGAGGAGGACAUCAUAGCAGUCGUCACUAGUAAACCUCCUUAUGUGGAGACAAAUGAGGAGGCUAUUGAGUGUUCUUUUCGUUCUUUAGAAAUUGUUAAUACUACCUUCAUUUCGGAGGGAAGCGAGGUGCUGGUUCCCAGGAUGUCUAGAGCAACAAGGAUGGCCCUACAAAUAAUGAUGGGGAAAGGAGCAUUGCCAGGAAAAGGACUAGGAAAAUAGUUGCAAUGAGGGAUUCAAGUCCCAAAAUUGAUGGAGAAGAAGGAUCGCUUUGGUUUGGGUUUUAAGCCAGACCAUAAACAAAAGAGACAAGAGAUGAAAAAGCGUCAAGUAAGAAGGAAGGCGCAUUUGAACGGAGGAGAAGUAGAGUGGGAACUGAUGACAUUCCCACCUAUAUCCAAAACCUUUAAGUCAGGAGGGUUGCUAGUAAAAGAGAGUCAUCAAAUCAAUAUUGUACAUAAUGAGUGGUUUGGACAGGAAAACCUUGAGGGUAUUCACCCUUACGAACCGGGGAGCUCUCUGAACAAUUGGACUGCGGAGGAUCUUCCUGUAGUCUUUAGAAAUUUUUCAGAGUAAUUCUCGAAACAUGUUUAUUACUCUAGGGCCUAGGAGUAGUAAGAUUACAUUUUGUGAAAAUAGGCCUAUGUUCAUAUAUUAUUAUUCAAAUAAAACAUAACUUUUACCAAUUUAAAAGAGUAUUGUCUCAUUUUUAUCAACCAAUAUUUCUUUAAAUUCUAACAAUUCUUAUUCUUUUAUUCAUAGCACAUAAACGAUCAUUCUCAAAUUCAUUCAUUCUUUAUAUAUUCUUUCAUACCCCUUACAGGUCUCUAGAUAUCAAUGAUAUGAGCGCUAAUACUGCCGUUCCUGAUUUCUCUUGUGAGCAAGACAUGUGUUUAGAGGAGCCUUAGGAUUUUGAAGAUGUUCAAGAUUGUGACGUAUCUCUCGAUCUAUUAAGAAUGGUAAAACAGGAGGAGAAACAAAUCAUGCCACAUGAAAAAGAGGCAAUAGAUAAUAUAGCCCUAGAGGAAGGGAAGGAGGUCAAAAUUGGAACACUGAUCGCUAAUGACACAAGGCGUAGCUUGAUUGAGUUGCUUCAGGAAUUCAAGGAUAUCUUUGCAUGGUCUUAUCAGGAUAUGCCCGGAUUGAGUACUGAUAUUGUAGUACAUCGUCUUCCGAUAAGACAAGAAUGUAGACCGGUCCAACAGAAGUUGCGAAGGAUGCGGCCAAACAUUGUCCUGAAAAUAAAAGAUGAGGUUAAGAAGCAGUUUGAUGCAGGAUUUCUGCAGGAAGUGAAGUACUCUGAAUGGGUAGCUAAUAUUGUACCUGUUCCUAAGAAAGACGGGAAGGUACGAAUGUGCGUUGAUUACAGAGAUCUAAACAAAGCAAGCCCAAAGGAUAAUUUUCCUCUACCACAUAUCGACACUUUAGUAGACAACACAGCGGGAUAUUCGUUGUUCUCCUUCAUGGACGGCUUCUCAGGAUACAAUCAGAUAAAGAUGCAUCCAGAUGAUAUGGAUAAAACUACUUUCAUAACAUUAUGGGGCACCUUUUGUUAUAAAGUAAUGCCGUUUGGGUUGAAGAACGCAGGGGCAACAUACCAACGAGCCAUGGUAAACUUGUUUCACGACAUGAUGCAUAAGGAUAUUGAGGUAUACGUUGAUGAUAUGAUCGCCAAGUCGCGAACAGAAAAAGAACACAUUGAGGUCUUGAGAGGAUUGUUCUUAAGAUUGAGAAAAUUUCAGUUGAAGCUCAAUCCAGCAAAGUGCACCUUUGAAGCCAGAUCGGGGAAGUUAUUAGGCUUCGUAGUCAGUAAAAAGGGAAUUGAAGUUGACUCAGACAAGGUCAGAGCCAUACGGGAGUUGCCUCCACCACGUACUCAAAAAGAAGUUCGAGGAUUCCUAGGAAGGUUGAAUUACAUUGCUCGGUUCAUUUUACAAUUGACCAAGAAAUGUGAUCCUAUCUUUCGUCUCCUCAGAAAGCACAAUCAAGGUGCUUGGGAUGAAGAAUGCCAGAAUGCUUUUGAGAAAAUCAAGCAGUAUUUGUUGAAUGCUCCAAUGUUAUCUCCGCCUAGUCUAGAUAAACCGUUAAUACUAUACUUGUCAGUGUUUAGCAAUUCUAUGGGAUGUGUGCUUGGUCAGCAUGACGAGUCAGGGAAAAAGGAAAAGGCAAUUUAUUAUCUCAGUAAGAAAUUUACUGAUUGUGAAAUGAGAUAUUCACUAAUCGAAAAGUUGUGCUGUGCGUUGAUUUGGACCACACGGAGAUUAAGACAAUACAUGCUAUACCAUACAACUUGGCUCAUCUCAAAAUUAGAUCCAUUAAAAUACAUGAUGGAAUCAACGGCUCUAAAUGGAAGAAUGGCGAGAUGGCAAAUUUUGCUUUCAGAGUUUGAUAUAGUUUAUGUAAGUCAGAAGGCUAUCAAAGGAAGUGCGGUGGCAGACUUCUUGGCCAGUAGAGCUUUAGAGGAUUACGAGCCAUUGAAUUUUGAUUUUCCAAAUGAGGAGCUAAUGUGUAUAGCAGCAACUGAAGAUUCUCCAUGGAAGCUAAAUUUUGAUGGGGCUUCUAAUGCAGUCAGAAAUGGAAUUGGGGCAGUCUUGGUAUCCCCGAAUGGCGACCAUUACCUGUUCAUGUGCAAGUUGGAUUUUGACUGUACAAAUAAUAUGGCUGAAUACGAAGCAUGCAUCAUGGGGCUCCAAGCGGCCAUAGAAAGAGGCAUAAAAACCCUAGAAGUAUAUGGAGAUUCUGCGUUAGUAAUCUAUCAGUUAAGAGGUGAAUGGGAGACAAGAGACCCUAAGUUGAUCAAUUAUCGAAUGGUAGUUUUAGGGUUACUAAGAGAGUUCGAUGACAUCACCUUCAACUAUCUCCCACGAGAUGAGAAUCAGAUGGCAGAUGCUUUAGCAACCUUGGCUUCACUGAUUAAGGCAAACAAAGAGGAAGAGAUGAGACCAAUUCAAAUGAGUGUCUAUGAAUUUUCAGCUAGCUGUUGUAACCUUGAAGAGGAAGAAAAGGAUGACAAUCCUUAGUAUCAGGAUAUAUUGCGAUAUGUAAGAGAUCGUAAAUAUCCAGCACAGGCAUCCGAAAAUGACAAACGAACCCUGAGAAGAUUAGCUUGUGACUAUGUUUUGGACGGGGAUGUUCUGUAUAAGAGAAGGAAAUACCAAGUACUUUUGAGAUGUGUCAAUGCUGUGGAAGCCAAGCUAAUUCUAGAAGAGGUCCAUGAAGGUGCAUGUGGUACGCAUGCAAAUGGGUUCACGAUGGCAAGACAAAUCAUGAGGUUUGGCUAUUACUGGGCCACUAUGGAAGGAGACUGUAUCAAUUAUGCCAAAAAAUGCCAUAAGUGUCAGAUUUAUGGGGACAAAAUUCAUGUACCACCCUCACCUUUACAUGUCAUGACGUCUCCAUGGCCAUUUUCCAUGUAGGGCAUGGAUAUCAUCAGACCAAUAUCGCCGAAAGCUUCGAAUGGACAUCGGUUUAUUUUCGUAGUUAUUGACUACUUUACAAAAUGGGUAGAGGUUGCUUCUUACGCAAAUGUUACUAAGUCAGCUAUAAGUCGAUUUUUGAAGAAGGAAAUCAUUUGUCGGUAUGGAGUGCCUGAGAGGAUCAUAUCCGACAAUGUAUUGAAUUUGAACAACAAAACGAUAGCAGAGGUUUCGACCAGUUCAAAAUCAAGCAUCACAACUCUUCACCCUAUCGUCCAAAGAUGAAUGGGGCAGUGGAGGCUGCCAAUAAAAACAUUAAGAAAAUAGUGGGAAAGAUGACUGAGACUUAUAGAGAUUGGCAUGAAAAGCUACCGUUUUCACUCUUGGCUUAUCGAACAUCUGUUAGAACUUCUACUGGGGCAACUCCGUUCUCGUUAGUUUACUGGAUGGAAGCAGUUUUACCUAUUGAAGUGGAAAUACCCUCUCUCCGAAUUUUAACAGAGAUAAGGUUAGAUGAAGCUGAAUGGGUUCAGUCUCGAUAUGACCAGCUAAACUUGAUUGAGGAAAAGAGGCUGAAGGCUAUCCAACAUAGUCAGAUGUACCAGAAGCGUAUGAUACGAGCUUAUGAUAAAAAAGUUCGUCCAAGGGAAUUCCAUGAGGGGGACCUUGUGCUAAAGAAAAUCAUUCCCAUUCAAAAGGACUUUAGAGGAAAGUGGAUGCCAAAUUGGGAGGGGCCAUACGUCGUGAAGAAGGCUUUUUCUGGUGGUGCAUUGAUUUUGACAGAAAUGGAUGGAAAAAGCCUACCCAAUCCGGUGAACUCAGACUCAGUUAAAAAUACUUUGUCUAAAAGCGAAAAGAAUCCAAGGUGAAAACCUGCAAAAGGGCGCCUUGAAUUUUGAAAAAAAAAUGGAUAGGCCAAUGUGAAAACCCACAAAGGGCACCUUGUGACUAAAGGGAUUUUGAGUUGAAAACCUGAAAGGGCAGCUCAAAUUUUGAAGGGCAUACAGCAAACUUGCUAUAUUUGACUUGACAGAGAGUGAGGCACAGUGUACAUUGGGGCAUCAACAAAGUACUUUGGAUCUUUUAAACACAUGUCGAACUCAAGAAAGGCUUCGGGGAACUAAUGUAUAGAUGCUCAAGCGGCGAUAUUUAUCCUGUUUGCUGUCUUUAGAUUCUAUUUCUUCUUAAAGAUAUGCUAUCAAACUUAUUUCCUUUGUACUGUUAACAAUUCGAAUCCAAUUAUUCUCAAAGAUUUACUCAUCUCCCGAUAUUUUUUAAGUAUGUUGCAUUGAAAUAAUGAUAGAUGAGCUAAAAUAUUUUCACAAAAGAAGUUUUACACAUCACUUUGGAAUUUCUAGAUAAUACAAGAAACUAAAACAGGACAAUUGUUCGAGAAAUUCACGUAAGUAAGGAAUGAAGGAACUCGAGAGAUUUCUUUCUUCCAGUUCAAAAAGAAAUGGAUGAUUCAAUUCUUACAGACAUCCUCAAUAGAUCAUAGCAUUGGAGGAAGGCCUACAAGCUGAGUAAGAAUAAAGUUUUGAGAAAGAGAAAUGAAGGAAUGAAUAAUGACACCUGAGAUAGGGGUUAUAUUCACAGCACUUUGCAUCAUAACAUGUUAAGGGCAUUUGACUCAUUUCAAUCAUAGCAUACUUAGGCAUAGGCACAUACUCAUCCUACAGGUCAUGAAGAUCAAAGAUUUCAACAUGGUAGCCUAUGCUUAUAGGAAAUAAAUUGAAGACAACAGAUCUAAACUUCAGACAUUUAUGUUGAAGCAGAUCCAAGAUGAUUUGGUAUUCUUGUGUUUACAAGAAACAAGUCGAGGACAUAGCAGAUUUGACUCUCAGACGUUCUCAAAGAUAGCAGAUCUAACCUUCAGAUGUUUAUACUGAAGCAGAUCCAAGAUGAUUUGGUAUUUUUGUGUUUACAAGAAACAAAUCGAGGACAUGGCAGAUUUGACUCUCAGAUGUUCUCAAAUAUAGCAGAUCUAACCUUCAGAUGUUUAUACUGAAGCAGAUCCAAGAUGAUUUGGUAUUCUUAUGUUUACAAGAAACAAAUCGAGGACAUAGCAGAUUUGACUCUCAGGCGUUCUCAAAUAUAGCAGAUCUAACUUUCAGAUGUUUAUACUGAAGCAGAUCCAAGAUGAUUUGGUAUUUUUGUGUUUACAAGAAACAAAUCGAGGACAUAGCAGAUUUGACUCUCAGACGUUCUCAAAUAUAGCAGAUCUAACCUUCAGAUGUUUAUACUGAAGCAGAUCCAAGAUGAUUUGGUAUUCUUGUGUUUACAAGGAACAAAUCGAGGACAUUGCAGAUAUGACUCUCAAAUGUUCUGAAACAGACUCAAGAUGAUUAGACAUCCUUGCAAAUUGAAGAAGUAGAAUCAGUGUCUCUAUGUUCGGCGGAAAGCAGAUUGAAGAUCAUAGAAUCGAUCAAAUUUGGGUCUUUCUAUGAAUCUUUGCUUGAUUCCUGUUACACAGCAAUAAACAAAGAGGGGCAGCUGUAAUAGCCCAAAUUUGACCGGGUUUAAAUAAAGAAAAAAUUAGAUAAAUAAAUAAACAUUUAUUAAAAAAGUCCAUUGAAAGUCCAGGCCUACUGUUGCUACCCAAAGCCCAAAUACAAAAACCCAUAUCCGGGUAUAACCCAAUAGCCAGAACAAUACCUAAUACCCCUAAGCUAAACCCAAACCCAAAUAAGACCCGUUACACCCAGCAGCCCGUCAGACUCAUUAUCCCUGCUAGCCUAAGUCAGACCUAACCCAUUACAUUAUAGACCUUGACCCAAAACAAAACAGCCCAAAAGGCCCAACAGACUUUAGAGAAACAGGGAAACCUUAGGGUUCUUGAAUACUGUGGUGCCGCAAACAUUUCUGGAAGCUUCGGGGAGUGUCUGGCAACCCCCAAAUUGAGGCCACCGUUUAAUGAGUUGUCCCAAGGGGCUUCAAUGCUCAUCAACGCCCCGAUCAUCGGUCGUCCCUUGGUCUGGCCCCAAAUUACGUCAUGAAUGUCAUGACCAUCACCAAGGCUCCAUCAGCGCCGUGAUCAGUGUACGCGUCUACACCAGCAUGGUCACUACUGGAUCCCUCGCUCGAUUGCCUGCAAGAAAAGGAAACAAACAGCAGAUACGCAAAAAAGCAGAGUAGAAAAUGGCAAGGAAAUCACAGCAGAUCAGUCAGAGAUACAAGAAAUCAGAGAUUUCUUUCCUUAUGUAACAAAUCAGUAGGCUAUAAAAAAAGCCUUUGUAACCCUUGUAACGAUUACACAGAUACAGAAAUAAAGAAACGAAUACAAACAGUUUCAAAGGUGAUAAUCGAGUGACUUGUUCUCUAUUUUUUUUAGCCCAUAUAUAUGAACUGUUUAGCAAAAUACUAAGGGUAUUUG
RNAcentral lists this long non-coding RNA (15431 nucleotides) under Gossypium barbadense (sea-island cotton). RNAcentral's name for it is "long non-coding RNA (GBAR_LNC012102)". Lineage: Eukaryota; Viridiplantae; Streptophyta; Magnoliopsida; Malvales; Malvaceae. The record is from RNAcentral.